Molecule: transfer RNA, 73 nt
Filed under: Pleurastrum terricola
Lineage: Eukaryota; Viridiplantae; Chlorophyta; Chlorophyceae; Chlamydomonadales; Pleurastraceae
Description: tRNA-His
Rfam family: tRNA
About the family: Transfer RNA (tRNA) molecules are approximately 80 nucleotides in length.
Source: RNAcentral
GCGUGCGUAGCCAAGUGGUUAAGGCAAUGGAUUGUGGCUUCAUCAUGCGCGGGUUCGACUCCCGUCGCUCGCC